AACGAACGCUGGCGGCAGGCCUAACACAUGCAAGUCGAGCGGGCAUUUCGGUGCUAGCGGCGGACGGGUGAGUAACGCGUGGGAACGUGCCCUUUUCUGCGGAAUAGUCCUGGGAAACUGGGGGUAAUACCGCAUACGCCCUUUUGGGGAAAGAUUUAUCGGAGAAGGAUCGGCCCGCGUUGGAUUAGGUAGUUGGUGGGGUAAUGGCCCACCAAGCCGACGAUCCAUAGCUGGUUUGAGAGGAUGAUCAGCCACACUGGGACUGAGACACGGCCCAGACUCCUACGGGAGGCAGCAGUGGGGAAUCUUAGACAAUGGGGGCAACCCUGAUCUAGCCAUGCCGCGUGAGUGAUGAAGGCCUUAGGGUUGUAAAGCUCUUUCAGCUGGGAAGAUAAUGACGGUACCAGCAGAAGAAGCCCCGGCUAACUCCGUG
RNAcentral lists this ribosomal RNA (433 nucleotides) under uncultured bacterium. RNAcentral describes it as "partial 16S ribosomal RNA". It matches the Rfam family "Bacterial small subunit ribosomal RNA", at positions 29 to 507 of the family's 1533-position model. The record is from RNAcentral.